RNAcentral lists this ribosomal RNA (434 nucleotides) under uncultured bacterium. Its description in RNAcentral is "partial 16S ribosomal RNA". It matches the Rfam family "Bacterial small subunit ribosomal RNA", at positions 29 to 507 of the family's 1533-position model. The record is from RNAcentral.
AGCGAACGCUGGCGGCAGGCCUAACACAUGCAAGUCGAACGAACCUUUCGGGGUUAGUGGCGGACGGGUGAGUAACACGUGGGAACGUGCCUUUAGGUUCGGAAUAACUCAGGGAAACUUGUGCUAAUACCGAAUGUGCCCUUCGGGGGAAAGAUUAAUCGCCUUUAGAGCGGCCCGCGUCUGAUUAGCUAGUUGGUUGAGGUAAUGGCUCACCAAGGCAACGAUCAGUAGCUGGUCUGAGAGGAUGAUCAGCCACAUUGGGACUGAGACACGGCCCAAACUCCUACGGGAAGCAGCAGUGGGGAAUCUUGCGCAAUGGGCGAAAGCCUGACGCAGCCAUGCCGCGUGAAUGAUGAAGGUCUUAGGAUUGUAAAAUUCUUUCACCGGGGACGAUAAUGACGGUACCCGGAGAAGAAGCCCCGGCUAACUUCGUG